This 451-nucleotide ribosomal RNA is filed under the name uncultured bacterium. Its description in RNAcentral is "bacterial SSU rRNA". It matches the Rfam family "Bacterial small subunit ribosomal RNA", at positions 354 to 796 of the family's 1533-position model. The record is from RNAcentral.
GUGAGGAAUUUUGGACAAUGGGCGAAAGCCUGAUCCAGCAACGCCGCGUGGACGAUGAAGGUCUUCGGAUUGUAAAGUCCUGUCGAGUGGGAAGAACGGCGCGAGAGUUAACAGCUCCCGCGCCUGACUGUACCACCAGAGGAAGCCCCGGCUAACUCCGUGCCAGCAGCCGCGGUAAUACGGAGGGGGCCAGCGUUGUUCGGAAUUAUUGGGCGUAAAGGGCGCGUAGGCGGCGAGGUAAGUCAGACGUGAAAUCCCCCGGCUCAACCGGGGAAUUGCGUCUGAAACUGCCCUGCUUGAGGCCGGGAGAGGAGAGUGGAAUUCCCAGUGUAGCGGUGAAAUGCGUAGAUAUUGGGAGGAACACCGGUGGCGAAGGCGGCUCUCUGGACCGGUUCUGACGCUGAGGCGCGAAAGCUAGGGGAGCAAACAGGAUUAGAAACCCGAGUAGUCC